GACGAACGCUGGCGGCGUGCUUAACACAUGCAAGUCGAACGGAAAGGCCCUGCUUGCAGGGUACUCGAGUGGCGAACGGGUGAGUAACACGUGGGUGAUCUGCCCUGCACUUCGGGAUAAGCUUGGGAAACUGGGUCUAAUACCGGAUAGGACCGCACUUUAGUGUGUGUGGUGGAAAGUUUUUUCGGUGUAGGAUGAGCUCGCGGCCUAUCAGCUUGUUGGUGGGGUAAUGGCCUACCAAGGCGGCGACGGGUAGCCGGCCUGAGAGGGUGUACGGCCACAUUGGGACUGAGAUAAGGCCCAGACUCCUACGGGAGGCAGCAGUGGGGAAUAUUGCACAAUGGGCGCAAGCCUGAUGCAGCGACGCCGCGUGGGGGAUGAAGGCCUUCGGGUUGUAAACUCCUUUCGCUAGGGACGAAGCUUUUUGUGACGGUACCUAGAUAAGAAGCACCGGCUAACUACGUG
This 465-nucleotide ribosomal RNA is filed under the name uncultured bacterium. RNAcentral describes it as "partial 16S ribosomal RNA". It matches the Rfam family "Bacterial small subunit ribosomal RNA", at positions 28 to 507 of the family's 1533-position model. The record is from RNAcentral.